This 484-nucleotide ribosomal RNA is filed under the name uncultured bacterium. RNAcentral describes it as "partial 16S ribosomal RNA". It matches the Rfam family "Bacterial small subunit ribosomal RNA", at positions 30 to 507 of the family's 1533-position model. The record is from RNAcentral.
AUUGAACGCUAGCGGGAUGCUUUACACAUGCAAGUCGAACGGCAGCGCGGACUUCGGUCUGGCGGCGAGUGGCGAACGGGUGAGUAAUGUAUCGGAACGUGCCCAGUAGCGGGGGAUAACUACGCGAAAGCGUAGCUAAUACCGCAUACGCCCUACGGGGGAAGGAAGGGGUUGGUAGGACCUGGCAUUAUUGGACGGCCGGAUAUCGGAUUAGCUAGUUGGUGAGGUAACGGCUCACCAAGGCGACGAUCCGUAGCUGGUUUGAGAGGACGACCAGCCACACUGGGACUGAGACACGGCCCAGACUCCUACGGGAGGCAGCAGUGGGGAAUUUUGGACAAUGGGGGCAACCCUGAUCCAGCCAUCCCGCGUGUGCGAUGAAGGCCUUCGGGUUGUAAAGCACUUUUGGCAGGAAAGAAACGUCGCGGGCUAAUACCCCGUGGAACUGACGGUACCUGCAGAAUAAGCACCGGCUAACUACGUG